GGAUUAGAUACCCUGGUAGUCCACGCUGUAAACGAUGAGAACUAGACGUUGGGCGGAUAACCGUUCGGUGUCGCAGCUAACGCAUUAAGUUCUCCGCCUGGGGAGUACGGCCGCAAGGUUGAAACUCAAAGGAAUUGACGGGGGCCCGCACAAGCGGUGGAGCAUGUGGUUUAAUUCGAUGCAACGCGAAGAACCUUACCUGCCCUUGACAUCCUGGGAAUUUUGCAGAGAUGCAAAAGUGCCUUCGGGAACCCAGUGACAGGUGCUGCAUGGCUGUCGUCAGCUCGUGCUG
This 292-nucleotide ribosomal RNA is filed under the name uncultured bacterium. Its description in RNAcentral is "partial 16S ribosomal RNA". It matches the Rfam family "Bacterial small subunit ribosomal RNA", at positions 775 to 1067 of the family's 1533-position model. The record is from RNAcentral.